This 107-nucleotide small nuclear RNA is filed under the name Choloepus hoffmanni (Hoffmann's two-fingered sloth). The record is from RNAcentral. Lineage: Eukaryota; Metazoa; Chordata; Mammalia; Pilosa; Megalonychidae.
AUGCUUGCUUUGGUGGCACAUAUACUAACAUUGGAACAAUACAGAGAAGAUUAGCAUGGCGCCUUUGCAAGGAUGACACGCAAAUUUGUAAGGCAUUCCAUAUUUAA